This 505-nucleotide ribosomal RNA is filed under the name uncultured bacterium. RNAcentral's name for it is "bacterial SSU rRNA". It matches the Rfam family "Bacterial small subunit ribosomal RNA", at positions 19 to 518 of the family's 1533-position model. The record is from RNAcentral.
AUGGCUCAGGAUGAACGCUAGCGGCAGGCUUAACACAUGCAAGUCGAGGGGCAUCGGGAGUAGCAAUACUUGCCGGCGACCGGCGCAAGGGUGCGUAACGCGUGAGCAACAUGCCCGUAUCAGGGGGAUAAUCCAUGGAAACGUGGUCUAAUACCCCAUAGUAAUUAUGUAAGGCAUCUUAUAUAAUUUAAAGCUUUGGUGGAUACGGAUUGGCUCGCGUGACAUUAGCUAGAUGGUAAGGUAACGGCUUACCAUGGCUACGAUGUCUAGGGGUUCUGAGAGGAAGGCCCCCCACACUGGAACUGAGACACGGUCCAGACUCCUACGGGAGGCAGCAGUGAGGAAUAUUGGACAAUGGAUGGAAAUCUGAUCCAGCCAUGCCGCGUGCCAGGAAGACGGCCCUAUGGGUUGUAAACUGCUUUUGUAUGGGAGCAAUAAGGGCUACGCGUAGUCCGAUGAGAGUACCAUACGAAUAAGCACCGGCUAACUCCGUGCCAGCAGCGGC